AACGCUGGCGGCGUGCCUAACACAUGCAAGUCAACUUGACUGAAGGAGCAAUCUGACAGUAGAGUGGCGCAAGGGUGCGUAACGCGUAAGUAACUUGCCCCAAGGUAAGGAAUAACGUCGAGAAAUCGGCGCUAAUACCUCAUAAUGCAGCGGAUCCGCAUGGAUAUGUUGUUAAAGGUUUACCGCCUUGGGAUAGGCUUGCGUCUGAUUAGUUAGUUGGUGUGGUAACGGCACACCAAGGCUACGAUCAGUAACUGGUCUGAGAGGAUGAUCAGUCACACUGGAACUGAGACACGGUCCAGACUCCUACGGGAGGCAGCAGUGAGGAAUAUUGGGCAAUGCUCGAAAGAGUGACCCAGCAACGCCGCGUGGAGGAUGAAGGUAUUCUAUAUCGUAAACUCCUGUGAGAGCAGACGAAAGACAGAUUAUUAAUCUGGAUGACUGUAUGCUCAGAGGAAGCCCCGGCUAACUACGUG
This 476-nucleotide ribosomal RNA is filed under the name uncultured bacterium. Its description in RNAcentral is "bacterial SSU rRNA". It matches the Rfam family "Bacterial small subunit ribosomal RNA", at positions 32 to 507 of the family's 1533-position model. The record is from RNAcentral.